AGCUUAACUUCGAAACUGCAUUACGAUACUGCCGUGCUUGAGGACUGGAGAGGAGACUGGAAUAUACGGUGUAGCGGUGAAAUGCGUAGAUAUCGUAAGGAAGACCAGUGGCGAAGGCGGGUCUCUGGACAGUUCCUGACGCUGAGGCACGAAGGCCAGGGGAGCAAACGGGAUUAGAUACCCCGGUAGUCCUGGCAGUAAACGGUGCACGUUUGGUGUGGGAGGAUUCGACCCCUUCUGCGCCGGAGCUAACGCGUUAAACGUGCCGCCUGGGGAGUACGGUCGCAAGAUUAAAACUCAAAGAAAUUGACGGGGGCCCGCACAAGCGGUGGAGUAUGUGGCUCAAUUCGAUGCAACGCGAAGAACCUUACC
RNAcentral lists this ribosomal RNA (372 nucleotides) under uncultured bacterium. RNAcentral's name for it is "bacterial SSU rRNA". It matches the Rfam family "Bacterial small subunit ribosomal RNA", at positions 606 to 975 of the family's 1533-position model. The record is from RNAcentral.